Long non-coding RNA from Mytilus californianus (California mussel), 684 nucleotides. RefSeq lists it as uncharacterized. Lineage: Eukaryota; Metazoa; Mollusca; Bivalvia; Mytilida; Mytilidae. The record is from RefSeq and is a predicted model, not a curated record. The transcript has 3 exons.
UAACCUUCACUUGUAUCCUUCUAACCUUCACUAUCCUUCUAACCUUCACUUGUAUCCUUCUAACCUUCACUUGUAUCCUUCUACCCUUCACUUGUAUCCUUCUACCCUUCACUUGUAUCCUUCUAACCUUCACUUGUAUCCUUCUAACCUUCACUUGUAUCCUUCUAACAAUUUCCUUCAGCUGUCCAUUAUUCUUUAUAAUUGACAGCUGAAAUUGACGGUACAUAAUUGAUAUUGAUAAAAGAUUUCCUUUCAUUUACUGGUAAUUCCUUGAUAUAAACAGAGACAUUUUGUUGAAGUUUCUGAAGUACUCAAUACAAAUGUUCAAAACUUUCUGCACACAGAUAUCAGAACGUGAGUUCUUAUUAUUGUGAUAUUCACCCAGUCCAAUUAUUCCCAUUAAUAAAAACCUUGCAAUAAUUUCUGAAUUUAUAGUACUUGUGUUCCCACCUUUCUGAGGAAGUGUCAGCUAUCUGAGAAGUAUGUCAUAGGUAAGGAUUUAGUUCUUGUGUUCCUACCUUUCUGUGGAAGUGUCGUUAAUCUGAGAAGUAUGUCAUAGGUAAGGAUUUAGUACUUGUGUUCCUACCUUUCUGUGUAAGUGUCGUUAAUCUGAGAAGUAUGUCGUAGGUAAGGAUUUAGUACUUGUGUUCCUACCUUUCUGUGGAAGUGUCGUUAAUCUGAGAA